GGUUCAAGAGAACUCAAAAAUCUAUGGUCAGAGAUUAAACGUACCUUCAGUGACCUGCAGUGUUUAUUACUUCCCUUUCCUGGUUCUGCAGUGGAGAAAGGGUUUGCAAAAACUGGGGACUUGAAUGAACUUGACAAGGAAUUUCUGAAGCAAGUGAAAAGCUUCAUCACAAAUAUCUUUGCACCUAAAAACUUGGUUCCUCCUAAAACGAAACUGACGGGUGAAGGAGUAUACAGAUUGCUGAUGAGUGUUGACGGGAAGAUAGCAGAUGACAAUCUGUCUUUCUUAAAUGUAAGUAAAUUUAGAUGUAAAGGUAUCAUUAAAAACUUGGUUCCUCCUAAAACGAAACUGACGGGUGAAGGAGUAUACAGAUUGCUGAUGAGUGUUGACGGGAAGAUAGCAGAUGACAAUCUGUCUUUCUUAAAUAUGUUCACCGAGAAUAUAAAUUUUUCCAAGGAGUCACUGCUUUUAGCGAGAUUUCCAGGUGGAUUUCAAGACCUUGACCUUCUACAGAAACUUAAGACAGAAAUUGAAACUGAGGGUGAAAAUGCGUUCAGAGGGCAGUCAAAAACACGUUUUAAUGAAAGACUUAAAAGGACUCUGGAACAGAUGAUGAACUCAGAAGUUAUUCAGAAAGUAUACAAGAAAUACGAGGACAAUUUUUCAAGUUCAAAACGAACCAAACAAUGUCAUGAAAUUUGGAAAGGUUGUGUGUCUCUUUUGGAUAAAUAUAUGUGUGGAAACACUGCUACUCGAAUCCAAACCAGGGAAAAAGCUGUUAAAAAAAUGUCAGAUGUAUAUUAUAGACAACUUUAUGAAGAAGUGUAUAAUGAUUUUAAGGACAGCAUAAAAGAUUUGAAGGAACUGGAAGAGUUGACUGGUUUGGAUGAUAAAACUGUAAAAGAAAGAUUCCUGAAAUUGGACGACUUUACGGAUAUAGUAGAUACUAAUGUCAUCCAUCCGAUAUGGCUGAAAUACCAUCAAAAUUUGAAAUGUUGUGUAACUGAACACUUUUUAAAGAAAAUUGAAGAACUAACUGGUGCAGAGAAUUUGGAAAAUGUAAGAGCGGAGCAAUAUAAGUUCUAUGAAGCAUGUACCUUAUUGAAAAAGAAUGGUGAUAUUUGGGAUAGUAUACCAGGAGACAAAACAUUGCUAUUUAAAAAAGUUGGUUAUGCCCUAUUUGGCCCUCCCAAACAAGUUAUUCAUACUGAAAUACGUCCUACACAAACUGAUACAAAUAAAAACUGUACAGUUGCAACAGGAUAUUAUAGUGAUCAAGACAAAAAAAUUAUAUCAAUUGUUAAUGCCAUUCUUAGUUGCACAGAUAAAGAAAUCAAAUUUUCCUAUGUGUAUGUGACGUAUCAAGAAGAUUCUAUAGACACUAGUAUUCCUGAAGAAGAAAAGAAUCAAAACAUUUCCAGUAUUCCUGAAGAAGAGAAUAAAAAAAUUUCCAGUAUUCCUGAAGAAGAAGAGAAUAAAAACAUUUCCAGUAUUCCUGAAGAAGAAGAGAAUAAAAAAAAUUCCAGUAUUCCUGAAGAAGAAGAGAAUAAAAACAUUUCCAGUAUUCGUAAAGAAGAAGAGAAUCAAAAAGUUUCUAGUAUUCCUGCAAAGAAAAAAAUCAAAAAUAUUCCUGUGUUUAAAACUCAUAGUGGUGGAUCCAAUAUUGUGUACAUAGAUACAAAUUGUCGUGUAUAUGAAAGCUGGGCUGACUUCUUAACGACAAAUACCCUACCUGAUAUUGUCAUUUGUUAUCCUUUACAUGGAAGUUAUGACAUAAAAACCGGUUUCAGUGUCGGUUUUUUCAAGACACCUGUGCUAAAUCCAAAGCACUAGAAGCCGCAGAUAAAGUAGAGAAGGUAAUUUCUGUUGGCGCUGGAGUUGCUGGGGUUGCCGCUUUGGUAGUUGCUGCUCCCGUACUCGCUCCCUGUGCAGUCGUAGGCGGUGCAGCUGCAGGCAUCUAUGGCUUUGGCCGUUGUGUUGUCAAAAUACUAGACAAGAAGAAGCAUAAUGAGCCUUAUGCUAAAGAGGUAGUGAAAGGUGCAUUUAAUGUUAUUGCUGUAGCUGCAGCUGGAGCUUUGAGAGUUGCAGAAGGGGCUGUUGUGGUGAGCACUAAAAUUGCACAGGGAAUAUGUGGUCUUAAUGGCUUUGUAGGUUUGCUUUAUUCGGAUAAUACGACUAAAUUAAUUGAAUUAUUGGACGAACUUUGUGAUCAAUCUUCAAUGAUAUCUUUCUACUUUAAUGCUGCAUCAACUUCAGAAGCGAUAGAAAACAUUAGAAAAGCUCUUAAAAUAAAUGAAGAUAGUGAUGAUGUUGAAGUUUUGUUGGCUCUUGUAAAUGUCAACAGCAUUCAGUACAGUGUUGAUAAGGGAGACGUUAUUAAUAUAGAAAAAUAUGUUUCUGAAAACGUAACAGAACUGGUAUUUAAACUGUUAAAUACUAUCAGUACUGCUGAGAAAGAUAUACUCAUUCUUCUUGCAGAAAUAAACCAGUAUGCACAGUUCCUGACUGAAGAAACAUCCGAGGAUGUGUACAAUAAAAUUGAUAUUAACAUGUCGAAACUCUAUGGAAACUUACAGAAAGAAAAUGAGAAAUACAGUUCUGCAUAUAAUCAAUUAAUAAGUAAUGGAAACGAAGAAGACAAGCAUCGUAUAUUAUUAAUAUUGCGUUAUUUGAUGUGUUCUGUGUCAAGCAGAGUUAGAGAAGUGAAUCAGUACUGUAACAACAUCGAGCACCGACCUGUCUGUCUAAUGAGUUACAAUGUCAGGUGCCAUCCUCUUGAAGAGGUUAACCGUAAGAUCAAAGAUAAAAUAGAGCAAAAUAAAUCAUUUACUGACAGUUCCUCAGAACUAGAUGAUUUCUUACCACAGAUACUAGAUUUUCUUCCGAGAAAUGCUACACCUAACUGGAAUUUAACUCAGUAUGCACAGUGUCUAUUAUCAAUUACUGUUCGAAUGAUGAAAAUGUUUGACGAAGAUAUAAAAAAACUUAAAACUAAAGUACCAAAAAAAAAUCCAACUUGCAAUGACUUAAAUGAUAUUUUUGAAGAGAUCGGUAUAAAAGGAAAUUAUGGGAAGGAAUUGUUUGAAAGAGUGCUACAAGAGUACCAAGUUGAUCAGCUGCAGCAAGUAGACUCAGACCCCAAGGGGUUGACAUGUGUGCAGGCAUGGUAUGGCAUGGCUGAUAACCUGAAUUGCUACUACUCAAGUUGCUGUGACGAUCCCGAGGAAUUGUUUGACAAGUUAUUUCCUUAUGAUAGUGAUAACUUUGAAGAGAGAAAAGUAACUGAAAACCUAACUUAUUGGAAACCUUGUGUGUCUAAUUUACCAGGGUAUUUUGUCUAUUCAUUAUCAGAUAAAAAACAGGGUUUAACGUAUUUGAUUCCGAGUGAGACUGAUUGCCAAGUUUCAGUGAAAGAACCUCGACAGAAUGGCAGAAUGGGAGAACUAUGCGCUUCACCUAAUUAAAAGAAGUAAUCAUGCAUGUUGACAAGGAACUUCUGCAAUGAGGACAAGAUAUCCAUCACUAUAACAUCCGUCACACUUCAAACUUCCACCUGCCUCUCUACACCACACCAUGCAAUUUGAAAUGAAACCGUCUUACAUGGGCAGAAAAUUAUUCAACCUUCUACCAGACUACAUGAAGACACUUCAAGGAAAGAAGCUGAAGACAUCCCUGACCAUAUGGCUCAUCGACAGACCAUACUACUCCGUAGAAGAGUCCUGAACUGGAGAAGAGAAGCCAACACAACUUGACUCACUAGACAAUUUUUAAUAAACCGAAACCUGUAUUUUACUGACGCAUGUACAUUUCUCCAUGAAAUUGUAAAUAAAGACUAUUGACUAUUGAGAAAAACGCAAA
Molecule: unclassified non-coding RNA, 3858 nt
Filed under: Homalodisca vitripennis (glassy-winged sharpshooter)
Lineage: Eukaryota; Metazoa; Arthropoda; Insecta; Hemiptera; Cicadellidae
Description: uncharacterized LOC124371815, transcript variant X2
Source: RNAcentral